CAUUCACAACCUCUCUGGGCAGAUUUAAAUAAUAAAACUUCAGUAUCAAUAUUGCAUUUACCUCUAGAAGGAUAACUAAACACUUUUUCCAUCAAAUUAGUUUAAGACAAGAAACUUUACAGUGAACUCAUUUCCAGUACUAGUUUUGGAGUAUAAAUUAUCCCAACACAGUGGUUUCCAGAAUUUGUUUUCUUAGUUUCUCUUGUCUUAUCUCCCACAUUUCUCUGUAGGCCAAGGACAUCAUUCUUUUAAUACAGUGCUUUGCUGAGGAGAACUAGCUAUCUGUUGAUAGAUCAGGCAUAUUGGGGUGCAUUCAGGUCACUGGAACACUGGGAUGUUAUUUGGGAAGGCAGUUCUGCAACUUGUCCCUUGUUUGUUCUGUGUCAAGGGAGCAUUAUUUUAAGAAAUAUCAAGGGAAGUUAAGGUGACUCCUAGAGCUUCGUGAAGGCUGGUCUGCUGUAUCUGUAGGGUUUUUAGUAGAACCAACAACUAAACAGCUUGCAAAGUUCAAUUUGCAAACUUGAGUCAGCUGUGAGAUAGGACAGAUUCUUUCCACCAGAUUAUUUGUGAUAUAAGAAUACUGGCAUCAUCAUGCAACCAAACGUCUGCUGUAGUUCUUAAAGACUGUUAAUCAUCAAUUAAACUGCACCAAAAGAGUGUUUUCUUAAGUCAGCUCUUUAUGAAGAAAAGGUCAGUAGUAGUUUUAUGUCCUUUUGUUGAUAUGUUAUAAAUGUAUUAUUGUAGAAGUCUACUUGAUAGUAGGUAGUUCAUAGUAUGUUGAUAACGCAAACUGUCUGCAAGCUUCAGUCAUUUCCUCAACCUACUGUAACAGCAGAAUUUAUUUUACUUGUCUUGAUAAUGCUUGUGCAGUUAGGAGUUCCAGAUCACUGGAGACUGAAGUACUGUGAUACAUAGAUUAUUUAUAAGUUGAUCUUUUCUGUCUUUUAAGCUGUAUGUGGAGGAUGGAAUUCAUUUGAGGAAUCCUACUUUUAAAUAGUAGAGUAUCAAGUUGGGUGUAGAAGGACUAAAUGUGAGAUUGUUUGCAUGUGGAAAAGAUGUUUGAUGGUAAGUACAGCCAACUAAUGCUAAUUCUCUUGCACUUAAUUGGAGCAUAAGAUUGUUGACUGUGGGACUGUGUAAAGACAAUGAGUUUUGGUCUGUUACUGAUGGAAGGUAUAUUUUAUACAAUGAAUAGAAUUUGGUAUUUGCAGCCUUUACUUUAGUGUACCAUAGGUCCCAUUGUGCAACUGAACUUCUGCUUCACUAUUUCUCCAGAACACGUGUUGUAGAAAUGAUAGGGUUAAUGCUCAUUAUUCUGGUGCUGGUUACAUUUGAAUUCUUCAAACUGAGAGGCAGAUCACAAACUCCACAUGAAAUUGACCUUUUAAAACUGAUUUCCUAGAGUAGUUUCUUGAUGUUUUUACUACUUAUCCAUUGAGUUAUUAUGGUUUCCACAGGCUGCUUCUUGAGGUGCAACUGUUCUGUAAAAUCAAGUAGGAAUUUGUAGCUGGUUACUAAAAAUGAAGAAUAAAAGCAAUGGGUUUGUCUGAACUGAGCAUGACAGAAGUCCUAUGAGAAGGUUUUUUGUUUUUCUUACAGGCACGUUAUUGUUGUUCAUGUGUAAGUAUGUGGGAAAGAGUUGGUAUGGUUAAAGUUACUUCUCUUAGGUUGUUUUCUUCCUAGUUUUGUGGUUCAUUUGUGUUGGAGAGAGUCCUUCCUUUUAAUGCAUUUUUGUUCUCUAGGGAAGUGCACUUUAAAUCUAGAUAAAAGCUAAUUUAUCAUGUAGAACCUCGAGACUUAAUGAUGUUUCUGUGUGGGAGCUCCUCUCUGGGUUUGGCUUGAAUCUUGUGGGCAGAUUUUACCACAGACCUGUACCUUUCAUCUAAUGAAGUAAUUGUUGUCUGUCUGUUAAUAACCAGCUACCUUGGUUAGUGGAUUUUGCAAAUACUUUUUAAGAAUUCCAUUGUUCAGAAAUCUGUUGCACUGCCAAGUUCUCCAAGGGAGGUUUUGUCUUAGGUGCUGUAGAUGCUUUGGAAUACUGAGGAAUGUUUCUGUUUGGUUUUGUGUUGUUUUGAUUUGCCUUCUGCCUCUCCUAAAGGUCAGAAUGCUUUCUGAACUGAUCUGUACUAUCUGCAUACCAGCAGGUGGAGCAUUGGUAGCACAAGAUGGGCUUCUGUCACUUAGUUCAGGUGUCUGGGAGGAAAAUAGUUCCUUCAGCAUUUUAGAAUCUCCAUGCAGGUGGAAGCUGCUGAGUGUUUGGCAUUAACGUGUAGCAUUAACAAAAAAUGUUGAAGGACAAUUUUCAGACUUGCAGGAGGGGUGAACUUGGAUGCAGAGAGCAAAAGGCAGCUUGGUGUUUCUCUGCUUUUUUUUUUUUUUUCAAAUGCCAGUUACCUGCUGUGAGGCGUGGAAUUAUUGAAGCUACAUCUAAAUGACUGUGAAGCUUUUAAGGGAACAGAAUUUUGCCAUGUUUGGGGGGGCUUUGUUUGCUGCAGAGUGAGAAGAGGUUCAUGUUGUGGUUUCACAGGUCACCUGCAUUGAUUUGAAGUUGUGUUGCCACCAAAACAGACAUUCCUGCCCUACAGUUGCUUCCUGCCAGUGCCAGGGACUGCCCUGCCAUCCAGUAACUGAGACCACCUGCCUGCAGAAAACUGAUCUUUUUUUUUUCCCCUCACUAGGAUUAGUUUGCAGCUAAAUAUAGUGGUUGGGUCCCAGUAACUUGCAUCAUAUUUUUAUCAAAUUCCUGUAAGGAUGGAAGAAGCAAGAAUCCCUCAGCCAGAAGUGAGGACAAGCAGGGCUACUGUUCUCCUACCCUACUCUUCCUAUGAUCAAUCUAAAUCACUCUGAAAUCACUGUGUAAGUACUACAGCAGUCUUUUCAUGUCUUUGGAAAGGUCCCUUAUGAUAAUGAUGCCAGCCUAAAGAUAAUGAUGAUAAACAAGAUUUAAUACCUCUGAGUGAAGCUCAUAUUACAGAGUUGUCUUUUGAGGUGUGACCAAGAUCUCAACUGCAUGGAAUUUUUGCAUUCAUACAUUAGUCUGUAUUUUUCAGACAUACCGAGAUGUCAAGUGUUUGGGUUCUGUGACUUAAAAUUUAGCUAGUAAAUAUGGUCUCAGGAUUGACUUUGGAAUGACUUUACAUCAUUAUCUGCAGAACACCUGUUGCUGGAAGUUGUGCAGUGGCAUUCUUUGUUGCUGAUUCUGCUUUUUCUCCUAAAUAUAUUUAUCUAUUUUCCUGUUCAGUUUGUUUCAUGUGAAAAGCAGAAAGAAGGAAGAUGAAUCUUCAUUCAUACUCCAUAAAGUACUUAGGGUACUUUGCCAAACUGAAGUUGGGAAUAUUUUCUAACAGAUCUCCCACAAUUUUUGGAAAUUCUGCUUGGAACAGUAUUGGGUGUAAUUUGGCAAUGCAAGUUUAGAAUGUUUUUUGUGACAUGGUGGACGUUAAUACGAACCUUGGAAUGGGCCUGUACACUUCCAGCUUCUUGGAAAAAGUGCUGCUUAAUGAAACCUUAAGGUGUUACUUCAGUUUGUAUUGCAGCUCUGUCUUAAGUCUUACAACUUCAGAAAAGAUUUCCUGCCCAGGUGUUUCUCCUGCCUCAUUUAUUCUCAUUGGAUAUAUCACUAAACUUGCAGAAUAACUGAAAGACCACUUAGGAGAUUACAUGGUUUAGUAGGGAAAUGGUGGUGGUAGGUGGACAGUUGAGCUAGAUGAUCUUGGAGGUCUCUUCCGACCUUGGUGAUUGAGGAACCACUUCUGCUCCAAAGUUUCCCAACUGCUUGUUUAUUGGUUUAAUUCUGUUUAUCAGUAAAGCUCUGUACUUGUACUGUGACAAAAGAGCAGUUUGGUGGGUCAUAGAGUAAGUCUCCUGCAUUUUGUUUAUUAUGGUUUGAAAAGCCAUAUUUAGAGUUGAUGGGAAAUAAGAUUUAGUAGGCAAAGCAGAGAGCAGAAAUCUGAAGUUUGUCCUUAAACGUAAAGAUUUCUUGCAUGUUGCUGAAGAGUCCUUCUUCAAAGUACUCUUGUGGGAGACAUCCUACAUCCAUUUCAAAUUGAAGACAGCUUCUACAAAACUCGAAGUGAAGAUAUCUUUCAUGCUGUCUACUCUCAAAGAUGCUGGUGUAAAAUAGGAAUCUGGAGGGGUUUUUUGAAGAGCACUGCUCGUGAUGUAUGAAGGUGACCCACAAACUCUCACUGUAGUAACGAUUGCCUUUUCUUUUAAUAGUCCAGCAGCUAACUGCUACAUUGUUCCAAGUAAGGAAAUAUGAAUCAAAACCAACAGAUCCACUCCUCCCAUAUUUACAGACUAGGAAGUCUGUUUUGCUGCUUUGAGUAAGAAACUAUAUAUGGAGGUGGCUUGAUGCUACAGCAAAUGUUGUUUGAGAGGCUAUGAAAAUAGUAGCUUUCUAAAGAUAUUUGUCAGAUCUUUUGCGCAAUUGACUUGAGAAUAUGAGGAAAUAUUUUCAAAACUAACUGUUUUGCCAGUGGGUUGUGUCUCUUUCCAGUUACUGUCCUGAAAACUGAUUUUCUGAUUUUUUCCUGAUAGCAACUUGGUGAAAUCUUACAUUUUGGAAAUGUUUUAAGAGUUAUUGAUUUAUUUAUUUGCUGUUGCAUCAUUUUUGUUUUGCGUUUGAUAUUGAUGGUUGAGCAAAUGCUGUGAUGACAUGCUGUCCUUGUGUGGAUGUUUCCUUUGGGGAUGGCAGGCUGUGUACACGUACUUAAAAGAAUGGGCCUGUAGCUUAUUACUGCACAACAAAACUUUUUUUAUGCACACUUAUAUGAUGUCCAUGACUUGCAUGCUUGCUGGGUUGUGUUUAUUUUUUGUGGGUAAUUCAGAAGUUGUAUAUAUUUUACUGGGACCAAGGUUAAGAUUCAGAGUCUUGCACAGAUCACUGAUGUCCUUCAAGGUUUAAUUGUGAUGAAGGAGUUGAGCUUGCACUUCACACCAUAAGGAGAAGUUGUUAUAACACUGCACUUCCACCAAAGUCUGCUUCCUUCAGUAACAAUCUCAGAUUCUGCUUAUUGAAAUUGUGCAUGUGAGAAUUUGUCAUAUCUGUGACUCAACGGGUUAAAAUAUGUUCACACAGAGCUGCACUUAGAACUGUUGUAUUGUGUUCCCUUUAGAUCUCUUGGUGGCCUGGCCCAACUUGUGUAUUUCCUUACCAGCUUCUCUAGUAGUAGAGUAACUUGGUGUAGUCUUAAUUGUGUUGCUGAUCUUAACUGAGCAUCCAAAGUGCUUUUGGUCAGCAGGUCAUCAGUAGGACUCUGUGGUAUUGAUGACUCAUUGGAGUUCUCAAUUUGUUUCCAGCAGCAUUACAGAGGACUACUUAUGGCAGCUGGUAUCACCAGAGAAUUAUAAUGUCAAAUGGGAGUGAAUAGUCAUUAAAUGAAGCAUUCUAAAUGUGUUAUCCUUCUGGAGUGUGCUACAUCAGACUGGGCUGAUACUCAGUCAAAAAAGGGGGGGGUGCAUCUCAGGUCUUGAUUUCUAUUUAUUUGUUUUAGGGAAGGUUUUUCCAUUUGCUCUUGAUCAUUUUUGAGUCAACAGGUAGGAAGGACUUCAGUGUUUUGCCCUGAAAAACACUAGAUGUGUUUUUCAAGCACAUCCAGUGCCUGAUAGACUUUCUGGCUUUAAAUUUAAGAAUUUAUUUCAGAUUAACUUCUUAUGAGUAGAGCUCAUCUGAUAUUAUUCCAGAGAACAUCUGUUGAAGGUAUUCUGUAUCCUAUUUCUUGUCAAGUCCUAGGGUUGGUUUUGCCCUCUUGCGUCUUCCUUCUGCUCCCCUUAAAAGAAAUGAUCAGAUUAAUUUCUUCAUGUUCAGUAGUGUGAACUUUCUUUAUGUGUUUCAGAUUGAAUAUAAGAUGCAGAUGAUCCUCCAAGGAAGCUUUUUCUCAAAAAACAAACAAAAAAACCUAGCUCAUUUUCUGAAGACAACUUUGUCAGUUGAACUAGAGAUGCUUCUUACCUUGACUGAAAAAGCAGACUAUGGGCACAAACUGGAAGACUCCUCAAGGUGAUGGACUGCUUUGUACUGCUGGACAGCUGCAGUGAUGUGUAGUAGUCUGUUGCUGUAAACAUCCCCGACUGGAAGCUGUAGCAGCUCGAGCUUUCAGUCAGAUGUUUGCUGCACCUGGCUAUACCUGGACAGCACCAGGAGGAAAAGAUGUCUAAACCUGCAUCUGUAGAGACAGAUUUAGUAGUUUCUGUAGACACCCUGGACUGCCUCCAAGUGAGUUGACUUUAUUUUUAUUAAUACUGCUAGUAUGAUUGAUUACAGGCUAAUCUGUAACAGGAUGGAGAUACAAAGGUAUUGCAUAUAUGUCACUCAGAACUGAAUUCUCUGCUGCUUUAUAGUAUGAGCUACAGAACUAUGGGAUGUAACAGCAAGCAGUGUCUAAUUUCUUGUACAAAUGUGCAUAAACAAAUCUUUUUUAAUGGCAUCUGUUACUAACCUGUAGAAAAACGAUUAAAUAUUGUUGAAUACUUAGCAAAUAUUUUAUUUGCUGUGCCUUGCUUUUUCUUUCUGAAAUUCCAUGUUCUGUUUCUCCUAUGGGUGGGUGGUGCUCUCAUUGUUUGUAAGCUGGAUGUUACCCAAGGCCAAAAUAAAGGUUAAAAAAGAUUGCAUGGGAUGUAUUUUUGUAGUAAAACACUGCCAAAUGUGUACAGUUGUUUGUGGUACAGUCAGCUUGCUUUGUACUACCAUUAACAGAUUAUUUUUCACAUGAAAAACAGCUUUUGAAAGUACUUUUUCAGAGUUCUCUUCGCUAAUUCUCAAAGUAAUCACCUCAUUGAGAACAGCUCUCAGCAAAACAACUUCAGUACUUUCCACUCUUCUCAGUGAGGGAUCUAGGAAGUGUGUUCUGCAGAUGUAAUUUUCUUGACCUUUAUUUGUAAAGGAUGGGAGCAGAAUAGUCUAAAGGAGUGAAUUCUACUGUUGUUUGAGUAGUAAGCGUUCUUGCAUUACCUUAGCUUUCCAGUCUUCCACCUCUGAAAAUGCUGGCUUUUGAAUGUCAAGGAAUGUGAAGCUAAAUUUUAUGUUCAGCUUAUUUGAUAAUAUGGUAAUAUAGAUUAAAAGGGUUAGCUAGAUCUAAUUUCCCUGCAGGAAUUCUGUCGAUUACAUGCAAAGAUACAGAUACUUAGAAAAAUAAAAUUUCUGAUUUCUUGAAAGUGAGGAUCCCUUAGGCCUGGGAAAGAUAGACUGCAAGUAUUGCGGAGGGCAGUGAUUCUCGAGCAUGUCAUGAAUGGCCACCAGUGAACCGAGGACAGCCAUUCUUCUGGGGCAGGUGCGUGACUGUAAAUACAGAGCUGCUGUGAUGUGGAUCCCCUGUCUGCUGGCACAGCAGUGUGUGGUGAUAGAAGGUUCUGAAGUUACAGAUAGCACUGCUGCAAUGAUCUGUUUUCAGAGUAGUUCACACACAAUACAGUUUCUGUUAAACAUUCUCUUAAAUAUGAUGUUUGGCUUGUGUACAUCUUCAAAUUUGGAAAGAGAAACACAAGCAGGAUUUACAAAUCCUUCUUCCUUUUUAAAGGAGAUCACAAAUGGUAGUCAUUUUUUCCAGAUGUUCUUCGCUGUAAAUGCUUGGCAUUCCAUAGUUCUACAUGCUACUUGGACUUAGAAGAAAUGAAGUGUUGCCUGUUAACAUUCUUCACUGCAUGAUCAAAGUAAACGUUAUCUCGUAGUUAAUCUUGUAGUCAUUUUUGUUAGUGCUGUCUUUUCACAUGCUAGAUAAGAGUAGUCAUGUGCAGUUCAUCAGCUCAGUCUUGUGGAAUUUUAUUUAUGUGCUAGUAUUUAAUACCCAUACUCAAACACAGCCAUCAUACUUCUUUACAUGAAAGCCAACUGAAGUGGUUUGUAAUGAUGGGAAAUAAAUAAAUCCACAUUGUGUUUUUACAUUACAUUUAUGUUUGGGAUUUUCUUGCUGAGAGUUUGAAAAGCCAGGAUCUCUGCUUUCUGCAUGUGAAAUACAAACUUCUGAACACAUCUCAAACAUUUGUGCUUGCAAAUGAAGAAGGCGGAGUCUUUCCAGGUUUAUGUGUUCACAUAAUGAUUUAAGUUGAAUCACUGAAUUUUAGGAAUGGAAGAGGCAGAUUUGACGUGUCAGCCUAAUCAUCAGCAAAGCUGAUUACCUUAUGUUGUUAAUGUGAUGGCUGCAACUAUUGCUUAUGAUAGAAGGAGGAGACGUAAAUCAAUUUCUACUGCUGUGUGAUGCAGUAACAUCAUAGUGGAGGCAGAUACCUAAAGGAGGAGGUUGCUAAUCCAGAGGCUGGCAGUGGAGUUGUGAACGUGCUGCUAAUUCUGGUUGUCUGUCGUGUCUAGUGCAAGUAGGAAUGGACAUGCAGACGCUUGGAAGUAGGGUGGAAUACCAAGAUCCCUGCUUGCUGAGGAAGUGGAGUGCUUAUGAAGAUGCAUGUUUAGAGUCUGAAUUAGUUGCCUGUGGUUUUCCUUCUAGUGGUUUUUAUGACCACUUAGCAGCAACACAUCAAACUCUUCAGUACUUUCAGGCUGGCCUGCAUGAAGGUCUCCCCUUGUUGUGAACUUGCAGCUGCGUUCACUAGAAAUGCUUGAGCUCAUGGUUUUUUCUUCAUACAAAGAACCAACUGUUAAGUGCUUAGAAGGCUUCCACCAGCCUUUGUGUAUGAAGAGAAAUCUGCAUCUGUGGUUCCUUCUCCCCAGUAAAUCUGCAAAACACCUGCUCAGACAAGAGCUUUGAGAAGGCUGAUGAAGUUUAUAAAGCGUUUUUUUUUCCUGGAUCGCUAAUGUUUUAGUUAUUCAAGGCUUUAGAUGCCAAGUAAGCCGCACAUUUAAAAUCUAAAAUAAGUGUUGAAGCUUAAUUGAUAGUGUUCUGUUCUCUCACUAUUGAAAUGACUCAUCUUUCUGAGUAACAAUUUGUGUGGAGAAAACUAAGAAGAUUGAAACAGCAGGGAAAGAACCUUGGAAGCAGUUUUAGAAUGGGAGUUAGUUUAGGAAAAUGUAGUGCAACUACAAGCAAAUGUAGCAAUAAAAGCUGUAAAAUUGAGUGUAUAAAGGAAACUGCUGAAAUUUUUGGUACCACAGGAGCUGAAUUUUAGCACAAAUACCAUUUGAGAAGCACAUCCUCGAGGACUCUGUCCCAGUUUGUAUGACCCUGUUGAUGUCCCAUUUGUAUUUUGGUAUUCAGUAGCAAUUCUGAUAAUGAUUUGCAUUUGAGGUUUUUAGAAGGUGCCUACUCUAAGCGUCAAAAAUCUUGGCAGGUAAGUGCAACAGAGAUAUUGAACUCCAUGGGCUGUGGGAAUUGUUUUAUUCUGUUUUUUAUCCUGUUAUCUUUAUAGUAUUAGAGACUGUACAAAUACAUUACUGUAUUCUGAUAUUUAUAAGGUUAAAUGUUAAAAAAAACAGUGCUCCAACUUUACAUCAGUAAGGUUUAAUAACUGUUGCAAAUGCCUUCUGAGUAGAAUAAGCUGUAGCAUGCACAGUGUAUUGAAAUAUGUCUGUGCCGAUUCAUUUUUGGAUAUCUUGAAAGCCAAUGCUGUAUUUAUAUUGUUAAGCUAACUUUUAGUUCCUGUAAACAUCCUACACUCAGCUAUAACAAGUGGUAGGGCUGGGGGGUGGAUGUUUACUUCAACUGACUUGGAAAGGCAGCUUUCCUGAAUGAUCAAGUGACAUUUUGGCAAGAACGGAAUGCUAUAUUUCAGUAGUAUUUAAAUAAACUUAUUGUACUCUUCUUUCUGCUGUAUUUCCAUAAAUAUCUUAAUGCAUGAUUAUUGUAAAGCAGUCUUUAACUGCUAAAAUGUGUAUCAUUUUGAUUGCAAAUAAACUGUGAUCCUGUAUCUUUGUCUUGAAAACUGCAUUCUGGUGUCCUCAGCUCCCCUAGGAUACGCUCCUGACAGGAAAAUACCCAGAAUCUAUUACUGAACGUUCAGUGUGCAGUAGCCAUCUCUUAUUUAUGAUCAACUUCUUCAGUGUCAGAGGAAGAGUGGAUAUGUUGGAUUAUGGUAAAUAGAAAUAAUAAUAUGAAAUAUUUAAGUGGUAGAACAAUUCUGUUAGGUUUGGUAGCUAACAAAAUGAAAAAUGUCUUGCUUUGAUUUGGAAGACUUGGAUAGAAGAACGUGGAUCUUUAGCUUUCCAUUUAACUCGUUUUACAUUAUGUCUUGUGAUUGGAUCCCAUUCCUAUUAGUGGUGGAUGUAUUGUUAAAUGAAAUAGAGCUCCAGCAUUUUGGGAAUAGGAAAUACUAGAUUUAACUAUUCAAAAAAGAGCUCAAGAAUGGUUUUGUUUAGGCAGAAGAAUGAAGGACAUGGGAUGCACUGUUGGGAAGUAUAAUCUGCUUUCCUGAGGAUCACUUCGAAAAUUCAUUUCCUUUAAUAUUAGGCUGUGACUCCUGAUCCGUGAUGUAUUUCCUACUUAAGGCAAACAGAUGAAAAUUACCAAGAGGAUUUUUCUCUUUUAAGAUGCAGAAGCAUAUUUUUGUUAUAUUUUUUCUUGUAUUUAUUAUGUUUUGCUGUGCUGCUUACUUUUGUUUCCAAGCUGAAGAAGUCUUUUUUAAUCAGAAGUCCUGGGCAGAUCUGAAAAAAUAUAUGGCACUGCAAUCAAUUGCAUGCAAAAGAAUGCAUCAGAAGUUCUGUAUUUGCACAGAACUUCAUUGUGCGAGUAGUGCAGUAUAAUCACACACUACUGUGUAUGUGCUUGCAUGGUUUAAAAACUUUUUUUUUAUGAACCAAUGUCACUUGUUCAGUUGGUGCAGAGCUCUGAGUUUUCCAGUUGAGGUGAGCCAGGGAAGCCUUAGGGAUGUAAGUUGUCUUCUUCAGAAGAGAUCCUGUGAUGAAGGGGAAGCUUACCUACAGAACAAUCUGCAUAUUUUUCUAUUUUUUUCUCCAGUUAAAUGCCCCAUGGCAUUGGUAACUUCACUCCAUUGCUAAUGGAGAUGCUUCUUUCCAUCUGGCUGGCAUGACAAGCAGCCAUGCUGAUGUAGCCGUGGCAUAGUGCUGUAAGGUUCAACAGCAAGAAGGAAUUCUCAAAUCAACAUUACCACCAAUCAUAAGGUGCAAAGACUCCUUUCAGCAGCACCAUUUGUCUGGAAAUAAGAGCUAUUGUGGGGUAGCGAAUAAGCAGUGUGAGCAGACUGGGUGUUUAAGUGGGGUUUCAGUGAGUUUAAAUGCACUUGAGAUGUAAAAUUCAUGUUACAAAUAGGUACAAAACAGUAGUCUUAGUCUUUUAUUACAGGAAAAUCUUGACUUUCUGGCAUGAGUGUUACAGGAGAAAAAUGUUAAACGGUGAAAUUGGUGAACAGCCUGUUGAAAGUUUAAGAUUUAAUAUAUGCUUUUUGGGAGUAUUUUGGAUUUGCAAUAGUCUGAAUUCUGUAGCGGUCUGGGAAGCAGCUGAAGUGUAGCUGUUCCUUGGAUAAAUGCAAAAAGUCAGACUUCUAACCUAGAAUACUUCUAAAGAUUCUAAGCAUAACAGCACCGAAUUUAAAACUUCUGAAGCAUGCUCAUUUUUCAUCCAUUGCGUCAGUGAUUUUUGGACAGAUAAGUCUCAGUCCCAUGGCCCCAGUGAUGGCAUAAAGCAGGGUUGGGUAAAUAGCUGGAAGAGGCCACGGUGUGUGUGAUUUAUACCAUGGUCCGGAAGUUCUGCUUAGAUAUGGUGGCAGAGGUAAGUUGUGCAGCAUCAGUCAACAAAUCUACCUCAAAGAACACAGGCACUGCUAAUGUAUUUUUUUGUUGCUUUUGAAAACAUGCAUUUACUCUUGUAUUUAAUUCUUCCUGGUUUUGUUUCCCUGAUGGUAAAAAUCCAAACUUAUUUCAAUAAAAGUAUGUUGAUACUGAU
Non-coding RNA from Meleagris gallopavo (turkey), 11786 nucleotides. The record is from RefSeq and is a predicted model, not a curated record. NCBI's taxonomy places the organism in Eukaryota, Metazoa, Chordata, Aves, Galliformes, Phasianidae.